This 477-nucleotide ribosomal RNA is filed under the name uncultured bacterium. Its description in RNAcentral is "partial 16S ribosomal RNA". It matches the Rfam family "Bacterial small subunit ribosomal RNA", at positions 28 to 507 of the family's 1533-position model. The record is from RNAcentral.
GAUAAACGCUGGCGGCGUGCAUAACACAUGCAAGUCGAACGAUGAAACUUAGAUGAUUUCUUCGGAAUGAACUUAAGUGGAUUAGUGGCGAACGGGUGAGUAACACGUGAGUAACCUGCCUUACACAAGGGGAUAGCCUCUGGAAACGGAGAAUAAUACCCUAUAAAGUCUAAUCAGCUCCUGCUGGAAAGACCAAAGAUUUAUCGGUGUAAGAUGGACUUGCGUCUGAUUAGCUAGUUGGUGAGAUAAAAGCUCACCAAGGCGACGAUCAGUAGCCGGCUUGAGAGAGUGUACGGCCACAUUGGGACUGAGACACGGCCCAAACUCCUACGGGAGGCAGCAGUGGGGAAUUUUGCACAAUGGGGGAAACCCUGAUGCAGCGACGCCGCGUGAUUUAGAAGGCCUUCGGGUUGUAAAAAUCUUUUUUACGGGAUGAAAAUGGCAGUACCGUAAGAAUAAGGUCCGGCUAAAUACGUG